UGGGGAAUAUUGGACAAUGGGGGGAACCCUGAUCCAGCCAUGCCGCGUGUGUGAAGAAGGCCUUAUGGUUGUAAAGCACUUUAAGCGAGGAGGAGGGUACUGGUAUUAAUACUACCAGGUACAGGACGUUACUCGCAGAAUAAGCACCGGCUAACUCUGUGCCAGCAGCCGCGGUAAUACAGAGGGUGCAAGCGUUAAUCGGAAUUACUGGGCGUAAAGCGCGCGUAGGUGGUUCGUUAAGUUGAAUGUGAAAGCCCCGGGCUCAACCUGGGAACUGCAUCCAAAACUGGCGAGCUAGAGUAGGGCAGAGGGUGGUGGAAUUUCCUGUGUAGCGGUGAAAUGCGUAGAUAUAGGAAGGAACACCAGUGGCGAAGGCGACCACCUGGGCUCAUACUGACACUGAGGUGCGAAAGCGUGGGGAGCAAACAGG
Molecule: ribosomal RNA, 430 nt
Filed under: Pseudomonadota bacterium
Lineage: Bacteria; Pseudomonadati; Pseudomonadota
Description: Proteobacteria bacterium partial 16S ribosomal RNA
Rfam family: Bacterial small subunit ribosomal RNA
Source: RNAcentral